UACAGAGGGGGCAAGCGUUGUUCGGAAUUACUGGGCGUAAAGGGCGCGUAGGCGGCCACCUAAGUCAGACGUGAAAUCCCUCGGCUCAACCGGGGAACUGCGUCUGAUACUGGGCGGCUUGAAUUCGGGAGAGGAAUGCGGAAUUCCAGGUGUAGCGGUGAAAUGCGUAGAUAUCUGGAGGAACACCGGUGGCGAAGGCGGCAUUCUGGACCGACAUUGACGCUGAACAGCGAAAGCCAGGGGAGCAAACGGG
Molecule: ribosomal RNA, 253 nt
Filed under: uncultured bacterium
Lineage: Bacteria
Description: partial 16S ribosomal RNA
Rfam family: Bacterial small subunit ribosomal RNA
Source: RNAcentral